UGAGGUCUAGCUCAGUGGUACAGCACUUGCCUAGCAUGCAUGAGGCACUGGGUUCAAUCCUCAGCACCACAU
Molecule: transfer RNA, 72 nt
Filed under: Ictidomys tridecemlineatus (thirteen-lined ground squirrel)
Lineage: Eukaryota; Metazoa; Chordata; Mammalia; Rodentia; Sciuridae
Description: Spermophilus tridecemlineatus (thirteen-lined ground squirrel) tRNA
Rfam family: tRNA
About the family: Transfer RNA (tRNA) molecules are approximately 80 nucleotides in length. Their secondary structure includes four short double-helical elements and three loops (D, anti-codon, and T loops).
Source: Rfam by way of RNAcentral